GAAGAUAUAGCUCAGUGGUAGAGGGCAUGCCUAGCAUGCCUGAGGCCCUGGAUUCAAUCCCCAGUACUGCCA
This 72-nucleotide transfer RNA is filed under the name Camelus bactrianus (Bactrian camel). It matches the Rfam family "tRNA". From Rfam's summary of the family: Transfer RNA (tRNA) molecules are approximately 80 nucleotides in length. Lineage: Eukaryota; Metazoa; Chordata; Mammalia; Artiodactyla; Camelidae. The record is from Rfam by way of RNAcentral. RNAcentral also lists the same sequence under 2 other names.